GCGGGAAUAGCUCAGUUGGUAGAGCACGACCUUGCCAAGGUCGGGGUCGCGAGUUCGAGUCUCGUCUCCCGCUCCA
RNAcentral lists this transfer RNA (76 nucleotides) under Pseudomonas aeruginosa. Its description in RNAcentral is "tRNA-Gly". It matches the Rfam family "tRNA". Rfam says of the family: Transfer RNA (tRNA) molecules are approximately 80 nucleotides in length. Their secondary structure includes four short double-helical elements and three loops (D, anti-codon, and T loops). Further hydrogen bonds mediate the characteristic L-shaped molecular structure. tRNAs have two regions of fundamental functional importance: the anti-codon, which is responsible for specific mRNA codon recognition, and the 3' end, to which the tRNAs corresponding amino acid is attached (by aminoacyl-tRNA synthetases). tRNAs cope with the degeneracy of the genetic code in two manners: having more than one tRNA (with a specific anti-codon) for a particular amino acid; and 'wobble' base-pairing, i.e. permitting non-standard base-pairing at the 3rd anti-codon position. The record is from RNAcentral. RNAcentral also lists the same sequence under 9 other names. Lineage: Bacteria; Pseudomonadati; Pseudomonadota; Gammaproteobacteria; Pseudomonadales; Pseudomonadaceae.